RNAcentral lists this long non-coding RNA (362 nucleotides) under Cricetulus griseus (Chinese hamster). RNAcentral describes it as "lncRNA (ENSCGRG00015040026.1)". The record is from RNAcentral. Lineage: Eukaryota; Metazoa; Chordata; Mammalia; Rodentia; Cricetidae.
CUAAGAUGUAGUAACUGGCUGGGUUCAAAUUUGCCCACUAAUUCCCAUUUCCUCCUGUCAUUUUUAGAUGUUUAUAAGACCUUGUCACUGGAAUAUAUUUCCCAGGUGCCCUUGCAGGGUUGGCAAACAUGAAGAAGGCUGGCAUAAGAGCUGAGUGGCCAUCUGUGACCAGAGGGCACACUCUUGCUACAGCAAACAUGUGGCAGUCAGUUUGCUGGAAUUGGUUCUCUCCUAGUAUCUCGGGUUUGAACUUAGAUCAUCAGCCUUGGAGGCAAACAUCUUUACCAACUGAGCUAUUUCUCUGUCCUCCCCAAAGCGACUAUCAUUCUUUCUAAGUUGCUGUCCAGUGCUUCAAUCCUGUG